RNAcentral lists this ribosomal RNA (497 nucleotides) under uncultured bacterium. RNAcentral describes it as "partial 16S ribosomal RNA". It matches the Rfam family "Bacterial small subunit ribosomal RNA", at positions 28 to 507 of the family's 1533-position model. The record is from RNAcentral.
GAUGAACGCUGGCGGCGUGCCUAAUACAUGCAAGUCGAGCGAACAGACGAGGAGCUUGCUCCUCUGACGUUAGCGGCGGACGGGUGAGUAACACGUGGAUAACCUACCUAUAGGACUGGGAUAACUUCGGGAAACCGGAGCUAAUACCGGAUAAUAUAUUGAACCGCAUGGUUCAAUAGUGAAAGACGGUUUUGCUGUCACUUAUAGAUGGAUCCGCGCCGCAUUAGCUAGUUGGUAAGGUAACGGCUUACCAAGGCAACGAUGCGUAGCCGACCUGAGAGGGUGAUCGGCCACACUGGAACUGAGACACGGUCCAGACUCCUACGGGAGGCAGCAGUAGGGAAUCUUCCGCAAUGGGCGAAAGCCUGACGGAGCAACGCCGCGUGAGUGAUGAAGGUCUUCGGAUCGUAAAACUCUGUUAUUAGGGAAGAACAAAUGUGUAAGUAACUAUGCACGUCUUGACGGUACCCAAUCAGAAAGCCACGGCUAACUACGUG